Molecule: small nucleolar RNA, 65 nt
Organism: Otolemur garnettii (small-eared galago)
Lineage: Eukaryota; Metazoa; Chordata; Mammalia; Primates; Galagidae
Source: Ensembl
UUGUAAUGAUGUUGAUCAAAUGUCUGACCUGAAAUGAGCAUGUAGACGUAUUUAAUACUGAAGAA